AUUAUCAAUGGUAUAAAAUCUAACGCAAUCAGGCCACAUUCUCAAUUUCUCUAAUAUCCAGUAAUCUGUAUUCUACUGAACUAUUGAAGGCUAGGAUGUCAAAAUCAAAUUAUUGUUGAACUUCAAAAUAAAAAUAUAUUUCUUCGACGACUUGAUUCACGAUAGACAAUUUGAGAGUUGGAGUUACUAUAGCACAAUUUGAUUUUCCAAGAAUCAAGGUUCAUUUUGAAAUUGCUCAUAGAUUUCCAACUUACUCGCUCUCUUAAAUGGCCUUUGAAACUAAAAAUUCUGGUAAGCCAAGACAAGUGAGGGGCACUACUGCAUACAAAUAUCGAAAUUUGUAUGUGUUUGGUGUAUUUGCUGUCAGUGGACUUUCUUGGUUCCUGUUUGAGUGAGUUUUUAUAUAUUUACCUAUAUAAUAUUUGAUUAAUUUUGAAUUUGAGAGCUAAUAUUACAUCAGAAUUCAAUCAAUUACCAUCC
Acyrthosiphon pisum (pea aphid) is the source of this 480-nucleotide long non-coding RNA. RefSeq lists it as uncharacterized. The record is from RefSeq and is a predicted model, not a curated record. Lineage: Eukaryota; Metazoa; Arthropoda; Insecta; Hemiptera; Aphididae. The transcript is spliced from 3 exons.